This 253-nucleotide ribosomal RNA is filed under the name uncultured bacterium. RNAcentral's name for it is "partial 16S ribosomal RNA". It matches the Rfam family "Bacterial small subunit ribosomal RNA", at positions 524 to 776 of the family's 1533-position model. The record is from RNAcentral.
UACGUAGGGUGCAAGCGUUGUCCGGAAUUAUUGGGCGUAAAGAGCUCGUAGGCGGCUUGUCGCGUCGGCUGUGAAAACCUGGGGCUCAACCCCAGGCCUGCAGCCGAUACGGGCAAGCUAGAAUUCGGUAGGGGAGACUGGAAUUCCUGGUGUAGCGGUGAAAUGCGCAGAGAUCAGGAGGAACACCGAUGGCGAAAGCAGGUACCUGGACCAUUACUGACGCUCAGCUGCGAAAGCUAGGGGAGCAAACAGG